ACUUCUUUUGAAAUGCUUGUUCAACAGGAUGCACACUUUCUUUUGAAACAGGUUUAGAAGUCCCACAGAUUCACUUGAAAUACUUGAUUGAACUAUAUGUUGAUGAUCAUCAUCUUUAUUUACUAGAGAUUGUUCUGCUUCUCUCUAUAGGUGCGUGGCACAUGCAUUAUUUGAUUUGUUGAACAAAUUGUUCAAGUCUUAAGUGUGCAUGAAGCUCUUUUAAUUUCUCCAUA
Molecule: long non-coding RNA, 233 nt
Filed under: Manihot esculenta (cassava)
Lineage: Eukaryota; Viridiplantae; Streptophyta; Magnoliopsida; Malpighiales; Euphorbiaceae
Description: long non-coding RNA (MESC_LNC002275)
Source: RNAcentral